CAGUUAGUUGGCGGGGUAAUGGCCCACCAAGACGAUGAUCUGUAUCCGGCCUGAGAGGGCGCACGGACACACUGGAACUGAAACACGGUCCAGACUCCUACGGGAGGCAGCAGUGGGGAAUUUUGCGCAAUGGGGGAAACCCUGACGCAGCAACGCCGCGUGGAGGAUGAAAUCCCUUGGGAUGUAAACUCCUUUCGAUAGGGAAGAUAAUGACGGUACCUAUAGAAGAAGCCCCGGCUAACUUCGUGCCAGCAGCCGCGGUAAUACGAGGGGGGCAAGCGUUGUUCGGAUUUAUUGGGCGUAAAGGGUGCGUAGGCGGUUUGGCAAGUCUUGUGUGAAAUCUUCGGGCUCAACCCGAAGCCUGCAUAAGAAACUGCCGGGCUUGAGUAUGGGAGAGGUGAGUGGAAUUUCCGGUGUAGCGGUGAAAUGCGUAGAUAUCGGAAGGAACACCUGUGGCGAAAGCGGCUCACUGGACCAUAACUGACGCUGAGGCACGAAAGCUAGGGGAGCAAACAGGAUUAGAUACCCUGGUAGUCCUAGCCCUAAACGAUGAUUGUUUGAUGUGGCA
This 568-nucleotide ribosomal RNA is filed under the name uncultured Acidobacteriota bacterium. Its description in RNAcentral is "SSU rRNA". It matches the Rfam family "Bacterial small subunit ribosomal RNA", at positions 242 to 827 of the family's 1533-position model. The record is from RNAcentral. Lineage: Bacteria; Pseudomonadati; Acidobacteriota.